This 1180-nucleotide long non-coding RNA is filed under the name Homo sapiens (human). Its description in RNAcentral is "HSALNT0036684". The record is from RNAcentral. Lineage: Eukaryota; Metazoa; Chordata; Mammalia; Primates; Hominidae.
AUCUAAGCAAUACAUAAAAUACACCCACUUUAUAUUAAAAAAUACAGAUCACACACACAUAGAUGAUAAAAGAUUUGCAAAAAUGUUGUAUAUGCAUAUAAAAAAUACAGGAGGGAAAAGGUCAAGCUGAUAAAAGUGGUUGCCUCUUUCAUAGAGGAGGAGGUGAGGGCAAGCAGAAGUUUUUGUGUUUCAUGCUAUAUAGUUUUGUACUGUUUGAUUCUUACAGUGAAAAUGUAUUCUAGUAUUACUUAUGUGCUGUGAUAGAAAUUUAAAAAUAAGAAAAGUAUAUGAAAGUAUGUAUAAAAGUCUUCUUGUCUAACAACUGCUGAAGGUUUUUAGUAAUUAAUGAAAUUGAGCAACGGGACUGGCUAGUUCUCAAUAUUCCAGCACCCCCAGCCUACAGACAUCCCCUGAGCCUUAAUGCUGGGUGUUGCUCAAGCCUGUAUGUUCUUCUCAGUUUCCCACCAGAAAGGCUCAUAAGCAAAAACGCCUCAUUCACUUUUUUCCAUACAAGUCCUGCAACUAAGUGAUACAAAAACUAACACAUUUUCACAAAUCUGUUGUCAUCUCUUCCCUGACCCUUAUCUUUUAUUUCACCUAAUCUAAUGUGGUAUGUUAAAAACAAAACAAAAAUGCAUAUAAAGGGAAUAAGAGUGAGGUCUGAUGAUGGAGAGGAAAUAAAAACAUCAGUUUCUGCUUUAGCUGUCGUGAAACCCCAGAAGGGCCAUUAGCAACAGUUUCUGUUUGCUAAGUGAAAAAGUACAUUUAACUCAAGAAUGAUACGUUCUCUCUCCUUUUCCACUCUUUAACGAAACUAGUUGGUUUGUGAAUGACAAGCAGUGUGAGUGAACCGUUAUGUAGGCAGUGCAGAUCCCAAGGAAAUUCACCAGAACUCGGACCACACCGCAUGGGCUGAAGCUCAUCCCUGUCCUGCUGCGCUGAGCCACACUGGAGCCGUCUCCACAGCCUCCGGUCCCCAGCCCCACCCCGAACCCUCAUCUCCCCCGGAAGCCGGGCGGGCACAUGACAUCUCACCACAGUAAUGCCAUCAUUGAGCAGGGCCUCCCCAAAGAUCAUCAUGUAGAGCUGCUCGUUCACGCGCGCUUCCUCAAACACGGCUAGCACGGCCACUGGGUCCACGGCGUUGAUCAGGGCCCCCAAUACUGCCCACCACAGGAUG